CCGCGACGCCUCUUCGGGCGUUUCCUCCCUAGACUUAGGCCGCCUCCUGUGAGGCGGCCUUCUUCUUGCACAUU
Molecule: small RNA, 74 nt
Filed under: Skermanella stibiiresistens SB22
Lineage: Bacteria; Pseudomonadati; Pseudomonadota; Alphaproteobacteria; Rhodospirillales; Azospirillaceae
Description: Makes More Granules Regulator RNA (mmgR)
Rfam family: Makes More Granules Regulator RNA (mmgR)
About the family: SuhB later renamed mmgR (makes more granules regulator) was a putative non-coding RNA found multiple times in the Agrobacterium tumefaciens genome and related alpha-proteobacteria. Other non-coding RNAs uncovered in the same analysis include: speF, ybhL, metA, and serC.
Source: Rfam by way of RNAcentral